RNAcentral lists this ribosomal RNA (468 nucleotides) under uncultured bacterium. RNAcentral describes it as "partial 16S ribosomal RNA". It matches the Rfam family "Bacterial small subunit ribosomal RNA", at positions 28 to 507 of the family's 1533-position model. The record is from RNAcentral.
GACGAACGCUGGCGGCGUGCUUAACACAUGCAAGUCGAACGGAAAGGCCCUGCUUUUGUGGGGUGCUCGAGUGGCGAACGGGUGAGUAACACGUGAGUAACCUGCCCUUGACUUUGGGAUAACUUCAGGAAACUGGGGCUAAUACCGGAUAGGAGCUCCUGCUGCAUGGUGGGGGUUGGAAAGUUUCGGCGGUUGGGGAUGGACUCGCGGCUUAUCAGCUUGUUGGUGAGGUAGUGGCUUACCAAGGCUUUGACGGGUAGCCGGCCUGAGAGGGUGACCGGCCACAUUGGGACUGAGAUACGGCCCAGACUCCUACGGGAGGCAGCAGUGGGGAAUAUUGCACAAUGGGCGGAAGCCUGAUGCAGCAACGCCGCGUGCGGGAUGACGGCCUUCGGGUUGUAAACCGCUUUCGCCUGUGACGAAGCGUGGGUGACGGUAAUGGGUAAAGAAGCACCGGCUAACUACGUG